GUACUUACUUUGGCAGCACAUAUACUAAAAUUGGAAUGAUACAGAGAUCAGCAUGGCCCCUGUGUAAGGAUGACAUGCAAAUCCAUGAAGCUUUCCAUAUUUUU
RNAcentral lists this small nuclear RNA (104 nucleotides) under Myotis brandtii (Brandt's bat). The record is from RNAcentral. Lineage: Eukaryota; Metazoa; Chordata; Mammalia; Chiroptera; Vespertilionidae.